CAGCCGCCGCGGGAACACGGAGGGUGCAAGCGUUAAUCGGAAUUACUGGGCGUAAAGCGUGCGUAGGCGGUUCGUUAAGUCUGUUGUGAAAGCCCCGGGCUCAACCUGGGAAUGGCAAUGGAUACUGGCGAGCUAGAGUGUGUCAGAGGAUGGUGGAAUUCCCGGUGUAGCGGUGAAAUGCGUAGAGAUCGGGAGGAACAUCAGUGGCGAAGGCGGCCAUCUGGGACAACACUGACGCUGAGGCACGAAAGCGUGGGGAGCAAACAGGAUUAGAUACCCGGGUAGUCCCUGUCUCUUAUAC
Molecule: ribosomal RNA, 301 nt
Filed under: uncultured bacterium
Lineage: Bacteria
Description: partial 16S ribosomal RNA
Rfam family: Bacterial small subunit ribosomal RNA
Source: RNAcentral